RNAcentral lists this long non-coding RNA (1822 nucleotides) under Canis lupus familiaris (dog). RNAcentral's name for it is "lncRNA (ENSCAFG00845020737.1)". Lineage: Eukaryota; Metazoa; Chordata; Mammalia; Carnivora; Canidae. The record is from RNAcentral.
GCUCCCGCCAGGAGGCCCGUGGCCGCCGGGGACCAGGCUGGCGCGAGGGUCACCGGAGAGCGGUGACCGCCUGCUGGGACGGGUUCUCCCCGGGAUCGCAGCGGUGCUUGCCUCCCCAGCGUCCCCCCCUUCCGCGUCCCCACCGCCCGGCCGCCCGGGCCUCUGUCCCCGCCCCGCUCCUGCCCCUGGCCGCUCUGGCCGGAUCACACGUGCGCUCGGUGCCCCCCGCACCCCGGCCCCAGGCGGCGGGGGGUCGCUCUGCCUCCUGCAGGGACUCCCACCUGCCUCCCGUGUCGCGGGCCUGCCAUUCCCAGAGGGAUCCCAGCCCCUCCCCCCGGCCCGGGAGCCCCUCCCCUUUCUGUGAAGGGUGAACUCUUCCUCAAGGAGAAACCUUUUUCUGUAGUUUUACCUCUUCCAGAAGUUGCGGGUGAACACGAAACCAUCAUCACGCCGAAGAUUAUAGUGGCUCCCGACCGACGCCAUUUAGCGGCCGCGUCUCCCGGGUGGCAUCGGACGGUUCCCGGGUUGGUGGCUGGGAGUCGGCGACUCCAGGAGGCGCGGCCCUUUCCCCGUGAGGGCUCCGUCGCCCCGGCCGCGGUUCCCCGCGGUUCUGUGCUGUCCCGUGGCCCUCCCCCGUCUGGGGGUGUCCCGCGGGGGCCCUUCACGGGGGGCGGGAUGUGGGCACUGAGGUCCGCUGGGGCCCGGGGCUGGUGCUCGGCCCCGCGGCCCCUUCUCACAGGGAGGAGCAGCUCCCCCAGACGUGUGCUGCCCCGUGGCCGUGGCCGGGGCACGUGGGAACCGCAGGCGACUGCCGGGUCUCUAUCCGUUUUCACAAGAGGAUGUUGCUUCCUCGGAAAAUGACCAGGAAUUUUUUUUUUUUAAGAUUUUACGUAUUUAUUCAUGAGAGACACAGAGAGCUUGCCCUCGAGGCCCGACCCCCGUGCCCCGAAACCCCCGCCUGGUGACCCUGUGCCCCCCCGCCCCCCGCCCGGCACCCGGCGAGCCCGCGGUGCUCUCGUGUGCUCCCCGCCUCGUGCCAGUCGCACAGACGCCCGUGUCCUCGUCCCAGGGGCCCGGGAGCGGGGGAGAGGGACGAGCCGCGGGAGGCGGGAAGGAAGGCAGGCGCCCCUGGGGGCCGGAGAGGCGGGGGCGGACCCCUGGAGCUCCCCGGGGCCCCCGGAGGAGCCGUCCUGCCCACACCGUGGCGGUAGCCCCGCGGGACCUCCAGAAUCCAGGCGAUCAGCUUGCGCUGUUGAGGCUGCGAGAGCCGCUUGCUGGACUCGCUGGAGUGAGGGCUCAGAUUGGACGCCAGACCUCCUGUCCUUGCCCUGAGCUGAGAAUCAGAGCCUGUCAGUCGGAUGUCACAAUAAUUAGGACACCGAGCCUGAGGUCUUCCAAGCCAGUAACUUGCAUCGCCAACGGACAGGAAGCACUCGCUCAGUUUUUAACUGUGUAGCAGCCCCGCGGGACCGACUGGGCAAGUCCUGUCAUCACGACAGGCCCAGGAGCACCUGCCGCUGUGACAUCCAUGAUGACUUGGGGAUGUAACGCGUCAGGAUUUUUUUAAAAGGACAACAUUUAAAAAUGCUUCAGAGUCACAGAGCCACCGCCUUGCCGAGAUGCUCCUUCUCUACUCCAAGCUCGUUUGCGUGCUCCUGGCAGGACAGAUCACUGCAAGGGCUCUCCCAAUAAGAAACUGUCCUUCCAGGAGUGAAGAACCCCCCCUUGGGCGUUCUGUGAUUUGCUCAGAUGUGGUUCGAAUCAAUGAUUCUAUGUUCAGACAUAGGAGAGCCUUUUCCUUUCUAAUGUGACCUGAAGUACU